Molecule: ribosomal RNA, 497 nt
Filed under: uncultured bacterium
Lineage: Bacteria
Description: partial 16S ribosomal RNA
Rfam family: Bacterial small subunit ribosomal RNA
Source: RNAcentral
GAUGAACGCUGGCGGCGUGCCUAAUACAUGCAAGUCGAGCGAACAGACGAGGAGCUUGCUCCUCUGACGUUAGCGGCGGACGGGUGAGUAACACGUGGAUAACCUACCUAUAAGACUGGGAUAACUUCGGGAAACCGGAGCUAAUACCGGAUAAUAUAUUGAACCGCAUGGUUCAAUAGUGAAAGACGGUUUUGCUGUCACUUAUGGAUGGAUCCGCGCCGCAUUAGCUAGUUGGUAAGGUAACGGCUUACCAAGGCAACGAUGCGUAGCCGACCUGAGAGGGUGAUCGGCCACACUGGAACUGAGACACGGUCCAGACUCCUACGGGAGGCAGCAGUAGGGAAUCUUCCGCAAUGGGCGAAAGCCUGACGGAGCAACGCCGCGUGAGUGAUGAAGGUCUUCGGAUCGUAAAACUCUGUCAUUAGGGAAGAACAAAUGUGUAAGUAACUAUGCACGUCUUGACGGUACCUAAUCAGAAAGCCACGGCUAACUACGUG